UGACGGCAACAACAGAUAGUUAUAAUAGUGGCUGAAAACUGAGACACUGUUCCGUUUCAAUUCACUGAUACCACUAAUGGCUUCUUAGCAGCUCCAUGAAAUCAAGCAGCUGUCAUGUCGAUGCAUCAGCAGCGAGAGGAGGGAGAGCCAUCCCCAUAAGGACAGAGGCACCGCGCCUUCAUGUUUGGCUAAACAUCUGCUCCUCUGCACUCCAGCUUUGCAGCAAUAAACGGGCAAACAAAAGAGGACAUGGGGGAAGAAAGUGCAACUAACUAUGAGGGACACAGCAAAUGCAAUGGCAUAUAAUCACACCUUUUUGUGAGACGGGUGACAGAAAUUAAACAAGGUCACCGUUUUUUCGAGUCUCCCGACGCCAACCAGUGUUUUGGCUUCAGUCAGAGGUGAUUAAAACGGUGUGUGUGCGAUGGCGAGAGAUGCAUGUGCGAGUGUGCAUGUCUUAAAUAUGUCCGACAGGGAAUCUAUCAUCCAUUCAACUCACGUGUAAACAACACAAGUACACCAAUAAAGGUUUCUUUAAAGGGCAAUAAA
This is a long non-coding RNA of Pseudoliparis swirei, 549 nucleotides long. RefSeq lists it as uncharacterized. The record is from RefSeq and is a predicted model, not a curated record. The transcript has 2 exons. Lineage: Eukaryota; Metazoa; Chordata; Actinopteri; Perciformes; Liparidae.